AGAUUAUAGGCUUCAUAUAUAGAGCAUUUACCGAAAACUCACUAUUUUUGUAGGGGGUACACAUAGAUUUUGAGAAAAAAUCAAAAAAUGUGAGAAUACUGUUUUAAUACAUAUUUGAAUCAUGUAAUAAAAUAUGAUGAAGUUCAAAGAGGUUUGGAACCUUUGUUGUCUCCGUUUCUCUAGGGAAUAGCAAUUUUAUAGUAGUUAGUCCAAUGAUUUAGGCAGUAUUUGCAGUUUUGCUACAUUAAUGGAUAAAAAAUUAGAACGAUAUCCAUGUACCAUGAAAAGAAGUUUAUCAUACAUUAAUACAAAGGUAUAAUAUGAUUUUAAAUUGUAAAACAAAUUUAAAGAUUAUAUACUUAAUAUAUAGAGCAUUUACCGAAAACUCACUAUUUUCGUAGGGGUACACAUAGAUUUUGAGAAAAAUUCAUCAAAUUUGAGAAUACUGUUUUAAUACAUAUAUGAAUCAUGGAAUAACAUAUGAUGAAGUUCAAAGAGGUUUGGAACCUUUGUUGUCUCCGUUUCUCUAGGGAAUAGCAAUUUUAUAGUGGUUAGUCUAAUGAUUUAGGGGGUAUUUGCAGUUUUGCUAAAUUAAUGGAUAAAAAAUUAGAACGAUGUCCAUAUACCAUGAAAAGGAGUUUAUCAUAAAUUAAUACAAAUGUAUAAUGUGGUUAUAAAUUUUAAAACAAAUUAAAAGAUUAUAGGCUUCAUAUAUAGAGCAUUUACCGAAAACUCACUAUUUUUGUAGGGGGUACACAUAGAUUUUGAGAAAAAAUCAAAAAAUUGAAGAUUAUAGGCUUCAUAUAUAGAUCAUUUACCGAAAACUCACAAUUUUCGUAGGGGGUACACAUAGAUUUUGAGAAAAAUUCAAAAAAUUUGAGAAUACUAUUUUAAUACAUAUAUGAGUCAUGGAAUAUCAUAUGAUGAAGUUCAAAGAGGUUUGUAGCCUUUGUUGUCUCCGUUUCUCUAGGGAAUAGCAAUUUUAUAGUGGUUAGUCCAAUGAUUUAGGGGGUAUUUGCAGUUUUGCUAAAUUAAUGGAUAAAAAAUUAGAACGAUGUCCAUGUACCAUGAAAAGAAGUUUAUCAUACAUUAAUACAAAGGUAUAAUGUGGUUUUAAAUUUUAAAACAAAUUUAAAUAUUAUUGGCUUCAUAUAUGGAUCAUUUAUCGAAAACUCACUAUUUUCGUAGGGGGGUAUACAUAGACUUGGAGAAAAAUUCAAAUAAUUUGAGAAUACUGUUUUAAUACAUAAUUUUAAUCAUGUAAUAAAAUAUGAAGAAGUUCAAAGAGGUUUGGAACCUUUGUUGUCUCCGUUUCUCUAAGGAAUAGCAAUUUUAUAGUGGUUAGUCCAAUGAUUUAGGGAAUAUUUACAGUUUUGCUAAAUUAAUUGAUUAAAAAUUAGAACGAUGUCCAUGUACCAUGAAAAGAAGUUUAUCAUAAAUUAAUACAAAUUUAUAAUGUGAUUAUAAAUUUUAAAACGAAUUAAAUGAUUAUAGGCUUCAUAUAUAGAGCAUUUACCGAAAACUCACUAUUUUCGUAAGGGGGGGGGGGGGGAUUUUGAGAAAAAUUCAAAAAAAUUGAAAAUACUGUUUUAAUACAUAUUUGAAUCAUGUAAUAAAAUAUGAUGAAGUUCAAAGAGGUUUGGAACCUUUGUUGUCUCCGUUUCUCUAAGGAAUAGCAAUUUUAUAGUGGUUAGUCCAAUGAUUUAGGGAGUAUUUGCAGUUUUGCUAAAUUAAUGGAUAAAAAAAUGGAACGAUGUCCAUGUACCAUGAAAAGAAGUUUAUCAUACAUUAAUACAAUUGUAUAAUGUGGUUUUUAAAACAAAUUUAAAUAUUAUUGGCUUCAUAUAUAGAGCAUUUACCGAAAACUCACUAUUUUCGUAGGGGGGUACACAUAGAUUUUGCGAAAAAUUCAAAAAAUUUGAGAAUACUGUUUUAAUACAUAUUUGAAUCAUGGAAUAACAUAUGAUGAAGUUCAAAGAGGUUUGGAGCCUUUGUUGUCUCCGUUUCUCUAAGGAAUAUCAAUUUUAUAGUGGUUAGUCCAAUGAUUUAGGGAGUAUUUACAGUUUUGCUAAAUUAAUGGAUAAAAAAUUAGAACGGUGUCCAUGUACCAUGAAAAGAAGUUUAUAAUACAUUAAUACAAUGGUAUAAUGUGGUUUUAAAUUUUAAAACAAAUUUAAAUAUUAUUGGCUUCAUAUAUAGAGCAUUUACCGAAAACUCACUAUUUUCGUAGGGGGGUACACAUAGAUUUUGCGAAAAAUUCAAAAAAUUUGAGAAUACUAUUUUAAUACAUAUUUGAAUCAUGUAAUAAAAUAUGAUGAAGUUCAAAGAGGUUUGGAACCUUUGUUGUCUCNNNNNNNNNNNNNNNNNNNNNNNNNNNNNNNNNNNNNNNNNNNNNNNNNNNNNNNNNNNNNNNNNNNNNNNNNNNNNNNNNNNNNNNNNNNNNNNNNNNNUAUGAUGAAGUUCAAAGAGGUUUGGAACCUUUGUUGUCUCCGUUUCUCUAAGGAAUAACAAUUUUAUAGUGGUUAGUCCAAUGAUUUAAGUAGUAUUUACAGUUUUGCUAAAUUAAUUGAUAAAAAAUUAGAACAAUGUCCAUGUACCAUGAAAAGGAGUUUAUCAAAAAUUAAUACAAAUGUAUAAUGUGGUUAUAAAUUUUAAAACGAAUUAAAAGAUUACAGGCUUUAUAUAUAGAGCAUUUACUGAAAACUCACUAUUUUCGUAGGGGGGUACACAUAGAUUUUGAGAAAAAUUCAAAAAAAUUGAAAAUACUGGUUUAAUACAUAUUUGAAUCAUGUAAUAAAAUAUGAUGAAAUUCAAAGAGGUUUGGAACCUUUGUUGUCUCCGUUUCUCUAGGUAAUAGCAAUUUUAUAGUGGUUAGUCUAAUGAUUUAGGGAGUAUUUGCAGUUUUGCUAAAUUAAUUGAUAAAACAUUAGAACGAUUUCCAUGUACCAUGAAAAGGAGUUUAUCAUAAAUUAAUACAAAUGUAUAAUGUGGUUAUAAAUUUUAAAACGAAUUAAAAGAUUAUAGGCUUCAUAUAUAGAUCAGUUACCGAAAACUCACUAUUUUCGUAGGGGGGUACACAUAGAUUUUGAGAAAAAUUCAAAAAAUUUGACAAUACUGUUUUAAUGCAUAGUUGAAUCAUGUAAUAAUAUAUGAUGAAUUUCAAAGAGGUUUGGAACCUUUGUUGUCUCCGCUUCUCUAGGGAAUAACAAUUUUAUAGUGGUUAGUCAAAUGAUUUAGGGAGUAUUUGCAGUUUUGCUAAAUUAAUGGAUAAAAAAUUAGAACGAUGUCCAUGUACCAUGAAAAGAAGUUUAUGAUACAUUAAUACAAAGGUAUAAUGUGGUUUUAAAUAUUAAAACAAAUUUAAAUAUUAAAACAAAUUUAAAUAUUAUAGGCUUCAUAUAUAGAGCAUUUACCAAAAAUUCACUAUUUUUGUAGGGGGUGGGGUACACAUAGAUUUUGAGAAAAAUUCAAAAAAUUUGAGAAUACUGUUUUAAUACAUAUAUGAAUCGUUGAAUAACAUAUGAUGAAGUUCAAAGAGGUUUGUAACCUUUGUUGUCUCCGUUUCUCUAGGGAAUAGCAAUUUUACAGUGGUUAGUCCAAUGAUUUAGAGAGUAUUUGUAGUUUUGCUAAACUAAUGGAUAAAAAAUUAGAACAAUGUCCAUGUACCAUGAAAAGAAGUUUAUCAUACAUUAAUACAAAGGUAUAAUGUGGUUUUAAAUUUUAAAACAAAUUUAAAGAUUAUAGGCUUCAUAUAUAGAGGAUUUACCGAAAACUCACUAUUUUCGUAGGGGGGUACACAUAGAUUUUGAGAAAAG
RNAcentral lists this long non-coding RNA (3815 nucleotides) under Brassica napus (rape). RNAcentral describes it as "long non-coding RNA (BNAP_LNC008349)". Lineage: Eukaryota; Viridiplantae; Streptophyta; Magnoliopsida; Brassicales; Brassicaceae. The record is from RNAcentral.